This 426-nucleotide unclassified non-coding RNA is filed under the name fungal sp. RNAcentral's name for it is "partial internal transcribed spacer region". The stretch from base 1 to 46 matches the Rfam family "Eukaryotic small subunit ribosomal RNA", at positions 1786 to 1831 of the family's 1831-position model. Lineage: Eukaryota; Fungi. The record is from RNAcentral.
AAGUCGUAACAAGGUUUCCGUAGGUGAACCUGCGGAAGGAUCAGUAGAGAGAGAGGGGAGUAGUUGGGGAGGGGAGAGGAGAGGGAGAGAGGGAAGGGGUUUUGUGGUGAGGGGAGAGAGGGAGAGGGAGAGGAAGUGUGUGGGAGGGGGAGAGAGUGGCAGGGGGGGAGGAUUUUGCCUGCCCCUCGGGUGCUCGAAACCAGAGACCAAACGACUGACCGACCCGAUUGAUUGAUGAUUGAUUAGUUGAUUGACUAGUUGAUUGGUCGAUCCGAUCUCGAACCAGAGGACAGGCCUCUAGCCCUAGCCCUAGCCAAGCCAAACCAAACCAACUAGUUCAAAAAUAUAUUUACGCGUGUCGAGUAUGACUGAGUAAAGGGGAGAAAAGGGAGAAAACAACUUUUAACAAUGGAUCUCUUGGCUCUU